This 29-nucleotide non-coding RNA is filed under the name Homo sapiens (human). The record is from RNAcentral. Lineage: Eukaryota; Metazoa; Chordata; Mammalia; Primates; Hominidae.
UGCAACAUAGGUGCUUGGAAAGGUGCAAC